AGGCGUGAACACGGUGUGUGUGAGUUCAGUGAGAGUGUGUGAGUCUACCAGAACUUCAGUCGUGAUAUGGUGGAUACAGUAAAGGUUCCAGCCUCCUGCUGCUUCUUCUGAAGUUUCUUCUACACCUUCUUUGGACUCCUGGAAUGCAAGAGCUGUCACUUCACCAGCUGCACUAGACCACAAUUCUUUUACCAAGCAAAACAAAGCAUUCUUGAAAGCAGGCUAAAAGACAUUCAAGCCUUUUAAACUGAACAAGACAAGAAGGAGCAGCAUCAAAAGUACAGAGAAGAAUCCAGAUGAUCCGGCAUCUACUGUUCAUGAUGGUUAAUUUUGAGUCAGCCAAGGCCAGUUUGAGCCAAGUAGAAGCUCCUGUUGGACACAAACCUGAGGACACAGCAAACAAUCACGAGGCUCCUAAAAAACUCUCCAGAAGAGAAUCUCUGGAUCUGCCUAUUAACUUUGAGUCACAGUCUUCUGCAGACUCUAUCAUGAGCACCCAACCUUCUAAUGUAACACAAGAGAAUCAGGAGGCAACUGCAGCAUCACCCCACCUACCCACACCCCUCCAAACUCCAGCUAAAGACCUGCCUUUUACCUGAAACGCAUAUACAGUUUAGGCACUGCAGUGGGUUUUCCAGGGUGCCUGGAGGAUGAAUGUUGAACCAUGUCUGAGAAGAUUAUAAGAGACUCCACCCACACAAGCACAGGGUGUCCUCACUGCUGCUGAAUGGCAGGCUGAUGAUCAGAUCAAUAGAUGCUGAUAAUUCCCCAGUUCUAUCAGUCUGUGGUUGCAAGAUGUUUUUAUGUUUUGGUGAGCGAGGGAGCAUUAAAUAGAGUUUUGUGCUGGCCCAUCCUACAAGCUAGACUUGAGAGUUAAGGUGUGAAAUUGUUGUUCUACGUACCGUGAGCUGUGUUGGUAGCUGUUCUAGUCUCAUCUGAGAGGAAUUUAUUGGAAAGGUUCUAUCUAUUUAUCUAUUUAUCUGUGCCUUCUUAAAACGUAUUACUGAACUGCACAUUUAUCCCUGUAUUCAUAGUUUUAGUUUAUAGUUUUGUGUAUAAUAAGGGGUUUUACUAUGUGAAUUCUAACUGUGUCUGUAAGAUGAUGUGUGGCUUUUGUGUAUUUUUAUUAGAAAAUCUAUCAAUAUUUAUCUGAAAUGGAUUGAAAAAAGUCUGACGAGUUUGUGCCACUAGGUGGAGCCAGUUCUCUAUUACAUAGCCAGUGAGUUGGAAGAUUAAGAAGGUUGUUUCUAAUAAAGUGGCCAGUGGGUUUAAGCACAAUGUAAGAGGUACAGUAAUAGAACAAAAGUUUGGUUUGGACACACCUCUUCUUAUUCAAUGUUUUCUUGUUUUUUAUAUAUAUUUUUUUUACAUUGUAAAUUUACAUUAAAGUCAUUAAAGCUA
This is a long non-coding RNA of Astyanax mexicanus (Mexican tetra), 1401 nucleotides long. RefSeq lists it as uncharacterized. The record is from RefSeq and is a predicted model, not a curated record. The transcript is spliced from 2 exons. NCBI's taxonomy places the organism in Eukaryota, Metazoa, Chordata, Actinopteri, Characiformes, Acestrorhamphidae.